Molecule: ribosomal RNA, 253 nt
Filed under: uncultured bacterium
Lineage: Bacteria
Description: partial 16S ribosomal RNA
Rfam family: Bacterial small subunit ribosomal RNA
Source: RNAcentral
UACGUAGGUGGCAAGCGUUAUCCGGAUUUAUUGGGCGUAAAGGGAACGCAGGCGGUCUUUUAAGUCUGAUGUGAAAGCCUUCGGCUUAACCGGAGUAGUGCAUUGGAAACUGGGAGACUUGAGUGCAGAAGAGGAGAGUGGAACUCCAUGUGUAGCGGUGAAAUGCGUAGAUAUAUGGAAGAACACCAGUGGCGAAAGCGGCUCUCUGGUCUGUAACUGGCGCUGAGGUCCGAAAGCGUGGGUAGCAAACAGG